AGCGAACGCUGGCGGCAGGCUUAACACAUGCAAGUCGAGCGGGCAUAGCAAUAUGUCAGCGGCAGACGGGUGAGUAACGCGUGGGAACGUACCUUUUGGUUCGGAACAACACAGGGAAACUUGUGCUAAUACCGGAUAAGCCCUUACGGGGAAAGAUUUAUCGCCGAAAGAUCGGCCCGCGUCUGAUUAGCUAGUUGGUGAGGUAAUGGCUCACCAAGGCGACGAUCAGUAGCUGGUCUGAGAGGAUGAUCAGCCACAUUGGGACUGAGACACGGCCCAAACUCCUACGGGAGGCAGCAGUGGGGAAUAUUGGACAAUGGGCGCAAGCCUGAUCCAGCCAUGCCGCGUGAGUGAUGAAGGCCCUAGGGUUGUAAAGCUCUUUUGUGCGGGAAGAUAAUGACGGUACCGCAAGAAUAAGCCCCGGCUAACUUCGUACCAGCCGCCGCCGUAA
RNAcentral lists this ribosomal RNA (451 nucleotides) under uncultured bacterium. RNAcentral describes it as "partial 16S ribosomal RNA". It matches the Rfam family "Bacterial small subunit ribosomal RNA", at positions 29 to 523 of the family's 1533-position model. The record is from RNAcentral.